Molecule: transfer RNA, 73 nt
Filed under: Bos taurus (domestic cattle)
Lineage: Eukaryota; Metazoa; Chordata; Mammalia; Artiodactyla; Bovidae
Also listed under: 5 other names
Rfam family: tRNA
About the family: Transfer RNA (tRNA) molecules are approximately 80 nucleotides in length. Their secondary structure includes four short double-helical elements and three loops (D, anti-codon, and T loops). Further hydrogen bonds mediate the characteristic L-shaped molecular structure. tRNAs have two regions of fundamental functional importance: the anti-codon, which is responsible for specific mRNA codon recognition, and the 3' end, to which the tRNAs corresponding amino acid is attached (by aminoacyl-tRNA synthetases). tRNAs cope with the degeneracy of the genetic code in two manners: having more than one tRNA (with a specific anti-codon) for a particular amino acid; and 'wobble' base-pairing, i.e. permitting non-standard base-pairing at the 3rd anti-codon position.
Source: Rfam by way of RNAcentral
UCCCUGGUUGUCCAGUGGUUAGGACUCUGCGCUUUCACUGCCGAGGGCCCGGGUUUGAUCCCUGGUCAGGGAA